RNAcentral lists this long non-coding RNA (1579 nucleotides) under Oryctolagus cuniculus (rabbit). Its description in RNAcentral is "lncRNA (ENSOCUG00000039198.1)". Lineage: Eukaryota; Metazoa; Chordata; Mammalia; Lagomorpha; Leporidae. The record is from RNAcentral.
CACCUCUCAAAUAAAUAAAUAAAAUAUUAAAAAAAAUAUAUUAGCAGUGGUGGCAUUGCUAGUUGGCCUGUCGCUGGCUGAGAUGUCCACACUCCACAUCGGAGGUCCUGGAUGCAUUUCCUGCUCUGGCUCCUGACUCCAGCACACUGUUAAUGCAGCCCCGCCCCCCGGGGGAGGGGCAGCUGUGGCGGCUCAAGAAGUAGGGCUUCUGCCACCUCCAUGGGACACCUGGAUGAACUCCCGGCUCCUGGAUUUGGCCAAGCCUAAUCCCAUUCUGUUUACUAUGGGCAUUUGGGGAGUGUACAGGAGUGUGUAGUCUCUCUCUCCCUCUCUCUCUCUCUUCUCUCUUUCUUCUUCUUGUAUAAUAAUUUGUCUUUAAAAGCUGAAAAUGAAAAGCUACUGGGUACCUCCUGGGUCGGGUCUUUUGCACACGUGGGUGUAUUCCAUCCCGGCAGAACCUCUGAGGCCUUCGCCGAGACCCCCGCUCUCCAGGCGAGCAAAUGCAGGCUCAGAGGACGCGCCACCUGCCGCUGGGCAGCCCCGGACACCAGGCCAGCCCUGCUCCCUGUCCCGUCUCCAUCUGCCUUGUUGCGCCUGGGGCCUGUUUGGUUCUGGCCUGGCUUCUCAGCCUUGGCCUUGUCCGGUCCUGGCCCCGCCCCUCCCUGUCUGAACACAGCAAGGUGGGAUUUCCUCCAGGGACCUCGCAAUCAAGGCCGCCGGCUUGCCGGGCUGCAGCCCAAGGCCUGCUAUAAACUCUGCCAUGAAUGGCCGCCAUUCUCUGCCCCAACUCCAGCUCCAGCUCACCGCCGCCCCGCAGCCCGGGAAGGGAGACCUCAGCCUCCUCCAGGCCUGUAAACACCAGAGCCACACACACAGCGAGGCCACAGCCGCCAAUGAAUCCUGGCCCCAGGGUUCUCUUAAAGGAGCAGAGCCCAGUGGCGACAAGGGGCCAGGGCCUGCAUGGAGAGCAGCAGCGGGACUCACAACCCUCUCCCCAGGCUCCCAGCAGGAAGGAGGAUGAAGCCACGCCCACCCCAGGAGCGUCUCCAGGAGCACCAGGGGUGCUGUGCUAACCGGGCGUGCUUGAGUGCAGUCAAGUGGGCGUUAUGAAAUGAGCUGUGACUGCCCCACCUCAGAGGCGACACCUGGCCUUAAGCUCAAAUUCCACCACCCUCCUGGGGUGCACAUUGUGGUACAGCUAGGGUUAAGCCUCCACCUGCAGUGCCAGCAUCCGUAUCAGAACACAGAUUGGAGUCCCGGCUGCUCCACUUCCAAUCCAGCUCCCUGCUGAUGCGCCUUAGAAAGCUCCCUGCACCCACAUGGGAGACCCAGAAGAAGCUCCUGGCUCCUGGCUCCUGGCUCCUGGCUCCUGGCUCCUGGCUCCUGGCUCCUGGCUUUGGCUUGGCCCAGCUCAGGCUAUUGCAGCCAUUUGGGGAGUGAACCAGCAGAUUGAAGAUUGAAGAUCUCAAUCAAUCAAUCUCUCUCUCUCUCUCUCUGUUUCUCUCUCUCUCUUUCUCUCUCAAGCUGCCUUUCAAGUAAAAUUAAGCACAUCUUUUAAAUAAAGAUAGACAGUUUCACA